AGCGGCGGACGGGUGAGUAACGCGUGGGUAACCUGCCUCAUACAGGGGGAUAACAGUUGGAAACGGCUGCUAAUACCGCAUAAGCGCACAGUACCGCAUGGUACGGUGUGAAAAACUCCGGUGGUAUGAGAUGGACCCGCGUCUGAUUAGGUAGUUGGUGGGGUAACGGCCCACCAAGCCGACGAUCAGUAGCCGACCUGAGAGGGUGACCGGCCACAUUGGGACUGAGACACGGUCCAG
Molecule: ribosomal RNA, 240 nt
Filed under: uncultured bacterium
Lineage: Bacteria
Description: partial 16S ribosomal RNA
Rfam family: Bacterial small subunit ribosomal RNA
Source: RNAcentral